AUGCGCAGCGCAGCGGCCAUGGAGAAGCUCGGCGCGAACCCGGCCAACUCCUGCCCGCUCACGCCGCUCGGCUUCCUGGAGCGGGCGGCCGUCGUGUUCGCCGACUGCCCCUCCGUCGUCUACCGCGCCACCGUCUUCACCUGGUCCCAGACCUACCGCCGCUGCCUCCGCCUCGCCUCCGCGCUCUCCGCCCUCGGCGUCUCCCGCCGCGACGUCGUGUCCGUGCUGCUGCCCAACGUGCCGGCCAUGUACGAGGCGCACUUCGGCGUGCCCAUGAGCGGUGCCGUGCUCAACACCAUCAACACGCGCCUCGACGCGCGCGGGGUCGCCGUCCUGCUCCGCCACUCCGGCUCCCGGCUCGUCUUCGUCGACCCGGCGCUGCUCCCGCUGCUCGACGACGCGCUCCGGCUCAUCCCGCCGGAGCACCCGGCCCCGCGCGUCGUGCUCGUCGAGGACCCCCACGAGAAGGAGAAGGAUCAGUUCCCUCCGGCCCCGGCCACGGAUCUAACGUACGAGAGGCUCCUCGAGAUGGGGGAUCCGGAGUUCAAGUGGGUCCGGCCGACCAGCGAGUGGGACCCGAUGGUGCUCAACUACACCUCCGGCACCACGGCUGCGCCCAAGGGGGUCGUGCACUGCCACCGCGGGAUCUUCUUGGUGACCAUGGUGUCGCUUGUGGACUGGACGGUGCCGCCGCGGCCGACGUUCCUGUGGACGCUGCCCAUGUUCCACGCCAACGGGUGGAGCUUCCCCUGGGGAAUGGCCGUCGUCGGCGGCACCAACAUCUGCCUCCGCCGCGUCGACGCCAAGGAUGUGUACGCCGCCAUCACGGAUCACGGGGUCACGCACCUCUGUGGUGCGCCCGUCGUGCUCAGCAUGCUGGCCAACGCGUCGGAGGGUGUGCGCAAGCCUCUGCAUAGGAAGGUACGGAUCAUGACUGCUGGCUCGCCGCCGCCCGCUGCGGUGCUGCAUCGUGCGGAGGCAUUGGGCUUUGAGGUCAGCCACGGGUACGGGCUGACAGAGACUGGAGGCCACGUCGUGUCCUGCGCGUGGAAGGGCGAGUGGAACAAGCUGCCGGCGUCGGAGCGCGCGCGGCUCAAGGCGAGGCAGGGCGUGCGCACGCCCGGCAUGGCCGAGGUGGACAUCGUCGACGCCGACACAGGCCGCAGCGUGCCCCGGGACGGCGCCACCAUGGGCGAGAUCGUGCUCCGCGGCGGGUGCAUCUUGCUGGGCUACCUCAACGACAGCGAGGCGACAAAGGCGGCGAUUCGGGACGACGGGUGGUUCUACACGGGGGACGUGGGCGUGAUGCACCCGGACGGGUACCUCGAGAUCCGCGACCGGUCCAAGGACGUGAUCAUCAGCGGCGGCGAGAACAUCAGCAGCGUGGAGGUGGAAUCCAUGCUCUACAGCCACCCAGCGGUGAGCGAGGUGGCGGUGGUGGCGCGGCCGGACGAGUUCUGGGGGGAGACGCCCUGCGCGUUCAUAAGCCUCCAGGAAGGCGCGGCAGGCGUGGUGACCGCGGCCGAGGUCAUGGCAUGGAGCCGGGAGCGCAUGGCGGGGUACAUGGUGCCCAAGACCGUGGUAUUCCGCGGCGAACUGCCCAAGACGUCCACCGGCAAGGUCCAGAAGUACGUGCUCCGGAAGCUCGCCCGGGAGAUGGGCCCCACUCGCAGGGGUAGCAGCAGUAGCAAGAUGUAG
Molecule: ribosomal RNA, 1698 nt
Filed under: Triticum aestivum (bread wheat)
Lineage: Eukaryota; Viridiplantae; Streptophyta; Magnoliopsida; Poales; Poaceae
Description: partial small subunit ribosomal RNA
Source: RNAcentral